AUUGAACGCUAGCGGGAUGCUUUACACAUGCAAGUCGAACGGCAGCGCGGACUUCGGUCUGGCGGCGAGUGGCGAACGGGUGAGUAAUGUAUCGGAACGUGCCCAGUAUCGGGGGAUAACUACGCGAAAGCGUAGCUAAUACCGCAUACGCCCUACGGGGGAAAGCCGGGGAUCGUAAGACCUUGCACUAUUGGAGCGGCCGAUACCGGAUUAGCUAGUUGGCGAGGUAACGGCUCACCAAGGCGACGAUCCGUAGCUGGUUUGAGAGGACGACCAGCCACACUGGGACUGAGACACGGCCCAGACUCCUACGGGAGGCAGCAGUGGGGAAUUUUGGACAAUGGGGGCAACCCUGAUCCAGCCAUCCCGCGUGUGCGAUGAAGGCCUUCGGGUUGUAAAGCACUUUUGGCAGGAAAGAAACGUCGCGGGCUAAUACCCCGUGGAACUGACGGUACCUGCAGAAUAAGCACCGGCUAACUACGUG
RNAcentral lists this ribosomal RNA (484 nucleotides) under uncultured bacterium. RNAcentral's name for it is "partial 16S ribosomal RNA". It matches the Rfam family "Bacterial small subunit ribosomal RNA", at positions 30 to 507 of the family's 1533-position model. The record is from RNAcentral.